Molecule: ribosomal RNA, 1520 nt
Filed under: metagenome
Description: bacterial SSU rRNA
Rfam family: Bacterial small subunit ribosomal RNA
Source: RNAcentral
AGAGUUUGAUCAUGGCUCAGAUUGAACGCUGGCGGCAGGCCUAACACAUGCAAGUCGAACGGUAACAGGAAGAAGCUUGCUUCUUUGCUGACGAGUGGCGGACGGGUGAGUAAUGUCUGGGAAACUGCCUGAUGGAGGGGGAUAACUACUGGAAACGGUAGCUAAUACCGCAUAACGUCGCAAGACCAAAGAGGGGGACCUUCGGGCCUCUUGCCAUCGGAUGUGCCCAGAUGGGAUUAGCUAGUAGGUGGGGUAACGGCUCACCUAGGCGACGAUCCCUAGCUGGUCUGAGAGGAUGACCAGCCACACUGGAACUGAGACACGGUCCAGACUCCUACGGGAGGCAGCAGUGGGGAAUAUUGCACAAUGGGCGCAAGCCUGAUGCAGCCAUGCCGCGUGUAUGAAGAAGGCCUUCGGGUUGUAAAGUACUUUCAGCGGGGAGGAAGGGAGUAAAGUUAAUACCUUUGCUCAUUGACGUUACCCGCAGAAGAAGCACCGGCUAACUCCGUGCCAGCAGCCGCGGUAAUACGGAGGGUGCAAGCGUUAAUCGGAAUUACUGGCGUAAAGCGCACGCAGGCGGUUUGUUAAGUCAGAUGUGAAAUCCCCGGGCUCAACCUGGGAACUGCAUCUGAUACUGGCAAGCUUGAGUCUCGUAGAGGGGGGUAGAAUUCCAGGUGUAGCGGUGAAAUGCGUAGAGAUCUGGAGGAAUACCGGUGGCGAAGGCGGCCCCCUGGACGAAGACUGACGCUCAGGUGCGAAAGCGUGGGGAGCAAACAGGAUUAGAUACCCUGGUAGUCCACGCCGUAAACGAUGUCGACUUGGAGGUUGUGCCCUUGAGGCGUGGCUUCCGGAGCUAACGCGUUAAGUCGACCGCCUGGGGAGUACGGCCGCAAGGUUAAAACUCAAAUGAAUUGACGGGGGCCCGCACAAGCGGUGGAGCAUGUGGUUUAAUUCGAUUCAACGCGAAGAACCUUACCUGGUCUUGACAUCCACAGAACUUUCCAGAGAUGGAUUGGUGCCUUCGGGAACUGUGAGACAGGUGCUGCAUGGCUGUCGUCAGCUCGUGUUGUGAAAUGUUGGGUUAAGUCCCGCAACGAGCGCAACCCUUAUCUUUUGUUGCCAGCGGUCCGGCCGGGAACUCAAAGGAGACUGCCAGUGGUAAACUGGAGGAAGGUGGGGAUGACGUCAAGUCAUUAUGGCCCUUACGACCAGGGCUACACACGUGCUACAAUGGCGCAUACAAAGAGAAGCGACCUCGCGAGAGCAAGCGGACCUCAUAAAGUGCGUCGUAGUCCGGAUUGGAGUCUGCAACUCGACUCCAUGAAGUCGGAAUCGCUAGUAAUCGUGGAUCAGAAUGCCACGGUGAAUACGUUCCCGGGCCUUGUACACACCGCCCGUCACACCAUGGGAGUGGGUUGCAAAAGAAGUAGGUAGCUUAACCUUCGGGAGGGCGCUUACCACUUUGUGAUUCAUGACUGGGGUGAAGUCGAACAAGGUAACCGUAGGGGAACCUGCGGUUG